This 384-nucleotide long non-coding RNA is filed under the name Chinchilla lanigera (long-tailed chinchilla). RNAcentral describes it as "lncRNA (ENSCLAG00000027823.1)". The record is from RNAcentral. Lineage: Eukaryota; Metazoa; Chordata; Mammalia; Rodentia; Chinchillidae.
AAGAUUCUGUCCCUUAAGCAUCGGAGUUAUCUCUAGGAAUUGGACAUCUUUAUUCUCCAAUGGUUUGUACUUGGGCCAGUCUUGACAGGUAUCAUGCUCUCUAUGACUAAUCUGAGCCGUGUGUGGAAGGGAGCUGCUGCCCAGCUGGAAAUCACGUCCAUCUGAUGGUUCUGGGAACACAGACUCAUCAACUUUGUCAUUUUCUGGUUCUGCUAAAUAAGAUCAUCAUGGGGGACUCAGUUUCAGAGUAAGGAUUUCAUUCAAGCUCUGGGACUGCCUUCCAGAACACUGGUGCCAAAAGAAGGACUCGUCAGUGGCUGUCCUUCCCUGCCGCGGAGGGGAGAAACUGUGGGUUGUACUGUUACCCAUUAAAAUGAAAUGCUG